UGGGGAAUAUUGGACAAUGGGGGAAACCCUGAUCCAGCAAUGCCGCGUGAGUGAUGAAGGCCUUCGGGUUGUAAAGCUCUUUUGUCAGGGACGAUGAUGACGGUACCUGACGAAUAAGCUCCGGCUAACUUCGUGCCAGCAGCCGCGGUAAUACGAGGGGAGCUAGCGUUGUUCGGAAUUACUGGGCGUAAAGGGCGCGUAGGCGGUACCAUAAGUCAGAUGUGAAAGCCCUGGGCUUAACCUAGGAGGUGCAUUUGAUACUGUGGAACUAGAGAUCGAGAGAGGAAAGUGGAAUUACGAGUGUAGAGGUGAAAUUCGUAGAUAUUCGUAAGAACACCAGUGGCGAAGGCGACUUUCUGGCUCGAUACUGACGCUAAGGCGCGAAAGCGUGGGGAGCAAACAGG
Molecule: ribosomal RNA, 404 nt
Filed under: uncultured bacterium
Lineage: Bacteria
Description: bacterial SSU rRNA
Rfam family: Bacterial small subunit ribosomal RNA
Source: RNAcentral